AUCCCGACUUACCAACCCGAUGCAAACUGCGAAUACCGGAGAAUGUUAUCACGGGAGACACACGGCGGGUGCUAACGUCCGUCGUGAAGAGGGAAACAACCCAGACCGCCAGUUAAGGUCCCAAAGUUAUGGUUAAGUGGGAAACGAUGUGGGAAGGCCCAGACAGCCAGGAUGUUGGCUUAGAAGCAGCCAUCAUUUAAAGAAAGCGUAAUAGCUCACUGGUCGAGUCGGCCUGCGCGGAAGAUGUAACGGGGC
This 255-nucleotide ribosomal RNA is filed under the name Escherichia coli. RNAcentral describes it as "partial 23S ribosomal RNA". It matches the Rfam family "Bacterial large subunit ribosomal RNA", at positions 928 to 1181 of the family's 2925-position model. Lineage: Bacteria; Pseudomonadati; Pseudomonadota; Gammaproteobacteria; Enterobacterales; Enterobacteriaceae. The record is from RNAcentral.